UCAGCUUUAUUAUGAAAAUUGAUAAAACUUUCAACAACGGAUCUCUUGGCUCUGGCAUCGAUGAAGAACGCAGCGAAAUGCGAUAAGUAAUGUGAAUUGCAGAAUUUAGUGAAUCAUCGAAUCUUUGAACGCACAUUGCGCCCCUUGGUAUUCC
This 154-nucleotide ribosomal RNA is filed under the name Erysiphe diffusa. RNAcentral describes it as "5.8S ribosomal RNA". The stretch from base 26 to 154 matches the Rfam family "5.8S ribosomal RNA", at positions 1 to 129 of the family's 154-position model. Rfam says of the family: 5.8S ribosomal RNA (5.8S rRNA) is a component of the large subunit of the eukaryotic ribosome. It is transcribed by RNA polymerase I as part of the 45S precursor that also contains 18S and 28S rRNA. Functionally, it is thought that 5.8S rRNA may be involved in ribosome translocation. Lineage: Eukaryota; Fungi; Ascomycota; Leotiomycetes; Helotiales; Erysiphaceae. The record is from RNAcentral.